CCUCCCUGGUGACCAGGCUUCAUAGAGGGCAUCACAACCCUCCCCGGUGACCAGGCUUCAUAGAGGGCAUCACAACCCUCCCUGGUGACCAGGCUUCAUAGAGGGCAUCACAACCCUCCCCGGUGACCAGGCUUCAUAGAGGGCAUCACAACCCUCCCUGGUGACCAGGCUUCAUAGAGGGCAUCACAACCCUCCUCCAUGCCCAUAAGGGAAUGUUGCUGUCUGUCAAGUCGACGAUCAAUAGAAACACAAGGGUUAUUAAUAUAUCAUCAGAAAGACUGCGAUCAUUGAUCCUUCCACAGAAAGAUUUCCCUACUGAGGGAUUGAGGCCAACGUUAAUGUCCAGGAGGAUAUUGAUUGGAUACAAAGGUCUAUGAUAGAUGUAGGUUGUGUGCCAUUUAGGAUGCUAUUUAGGAUGACAUUUAGAAUGCUAUUCAGGAUGCUAUUUAGGGUGCUAUUUAGGAUGCCAUUUAGGGUGCUAUUUAGGGUGCUAUUUAGGAUGCUAUUUAGGAUGAAUUACAUAUAAAAGCUACAAAAUGUCAUUCUCCAUAUGAAAUGCGGAUGGUAUUUGCUAUGGAAAUUAUCUACUGCCAUACACUGUAUGAAGUAUGCAUUCAGCAUUCUCAUACGGGAGGUUCAUCCAGGGAAUCUGUCACAACAUUCUCAUACGGGAGGUUCAUCCAGGGAAUCUGUCACAACAUUCUCUUACAGGAGGUUCAUCCAGGGAAUCUGUCACAACAUUCUCUUACGGAAGGUUCUUCCAGGGAAUCUGUCACAACAUUCUCUUACGGAAGGUUCAUCCAGGGAAUCUGUCACAACAUUCUCUUACGGGAGGUUCUUCCAGGGAAUCUGUCACAACAUUCUCUUACGGGAGGUUCUUCCAGGGAAUCUGUCACAACAUUCUCUUAUGGAAGGUUCUUCCAGGGAAUCUGUCACAACAUUCUCUUACGGAAGGUUCUUCCAGGGAAUCUGUCACAACAUUCUCUUACGGAAGGUUCUUCCAGGGAAUCUGUCACAACAUUCUCUUACGGAAGGUUCUUCCAGGGAAUCUGUCACAACAUUCUCUUACAGAAGGUUCUUCCAGGGAAUCUGUCACAACAUUCUCUUACGGAAGGUUCUUCCAGGGAAUCUGUCACAACAUUCUCUUACAGAAGGUUCUUCCAGGGAAUCGGUCACAACAUUCUCUUACGGAAGGUUCAAUGGUUUUUCAUAUUUAAACGAGUUUCUUUGACGUUUUAAACACAAUGGAUAUUUCUUUGCACGUAGAGAGUCUAGGAUUAUGAAGGUAUAUACAUUAAAUGAAUGUACAGUGACCUCACAUAGAUAGGAAAACUACAGUAGAGCUAACAAUGCAGUAAAAAUAUAUCUAAAUGUUCAGACAGAAAGUUCCAGGGUUAGAGAGAACAACCUCACUCUACAGACCAGGGUGAUAUGUUACAUAGCUGUGAACAGGACCUCGUUGGGUUGGCAAAUGGACAUGACAAAUGGGUAUUUUAACGGGCUAACAAGUAUUGGUAGCCGCUGCUGUCAUUAACAACACUGGACCUAUGUUUAAACUCAUGUCUAAAAUGGCAUCCUAUUCCCUACAUAAUGCACUACUUUAGACCGGGACCCUAUCCCCUAUAUAGUGCACUACUUUAGACCAGAGCCCUAUUCCCUAUGUAGUGCACUACUUUAGACCAGGGCCCUAUUCGAUAUAUAGUGCACUACUUUAGACCAGGGCCCUAUUCCCUACAUAGUGCACUACUUUAGACCAGGGCCCUAUUCCCUACAUAGUGCACUACUUUAGACCAGGACCCUAUCCCCUAUAUAGUGCACUACUUCAAACCAGAGCCCUAUUCCCUAUGUAGUGCACUACUUUAGACCAGAGCCCUAUCCCCUAUAUAGUGCACUACUUUAAACCAGAGCCCUAUAUAGUGCACUACUUUAGACCAGAGACCUAUUCCCUAUAUAGUGCACUACUAUAGACCAGAGCCCUAUUCCCUAUGUAGUGCACUACUAUAGACCAGAGCCCUAUUCCCUAUAUAGUGGUACUACUAUAGACCAGAGCCCUAUUCCCUAUAUAGUGGUACUACUUAGACCAGGCCCUAUUCCCUAUAUAGUGGUACUACUUUAGACCAGGGCCCUAUUCCCUAUAUAGUGCACUACUUUAGACCAGGGCCCUAUUCCCUAUAUAGUGCACUACUAUAGACCAGAGCCCUAUUCCCUAUAUAGUGCACUACUUUAAACCAGAGCCCUAUAUAGUGGUACUACUAUAGACCAGAGCCCUAUUCCCUAUAUAGUGGUACUACUAUAGACCAGAGCCCUAUUCCCUAUAUAGUGCUACUACUUAGACCAGGGCCCUAUUCCCUAUAUAGU
Molecule: long non-coding RNA, 2358 nt
Organism: Oncorhynchus tshawytscha (Chinook salmon)
Lineage: Eukaryota; Metazoa; Chordata; Actinopteri; Salmoniformes; Salmonidae
Source: Ensembl